ACGGGAGGCAGCAGUGGGGAAUAUUGGACAAUGGGGGAAACCCUGAUGCAGCAACGCCACGUGUGGGAAGAAGCAUUUCGGUGUGUAAACCACUGUCGUGAAGGAAUAAUGCUUGGUCUCGGCCAAGUUGAAUGUACUUUGAAAGGAAGCACCGGCUAAAUACGUGCCAGCAGCCGCGGUAAUACGUAUGGUGCAAGCGUUAUCCGGAUUUACUGGGUGUAAAGGGAGCGCAGACGGCAUGGCAAGCCAGAUGUGAAAGGCAGGGGCUCAACUCCUGGACUGCAUUUGGAACUGUCAAGCUAGAGUAUCGGAGAGGUAAGUGGAAUUCCUAGUGUAGCGGUGAAAUGCGUAGAUAUUAGGAGGAACACCAGUGGCGAAGGCGGCUUACUGGACGAUAACUGACGUUGAGGCUCGAAAGCGUGGGGAGCAAACAGGAUUAGAUACCCUGGUA
RNAcentral lists this ribosomal RNA (451 nucleotides) under uncultured Lachnospiraceae bacterium. RNAcentral's name for it is "partial 16S ribosomal RNA". It matches the Rfam family "Bacterial small subunit ribosomal RNA", at positions 341 to 792 of the family's 1533-position model. The record is from RNAcentral. Lineage: Bacteria; Bacillati; Bacillota; Clostridia; Lachnospirales; Lachnospiraceae.